UACGUAGGGGGCAAGCGUUGUCCGGAUUUAUUGGGCGUAAAGGGCGCGUAGGCGGAUGGCACAGUCAGAUGUGAAAUUCCCGGGCUUAACCUGGGGGCUGCAUUUGAUACGUGUUGUCUAGAGUGAGGAAGAGGGUUGUGGAAUUCCCAGUGUAGAGGUGAAAUUCGUAGAUAUUGGGAAGAACACCGGUGGCGAAGGCGGCAACCUGGUCCUUGACUGACGCUGAGGCGCGAAAGCUCGGGGAGCGAACGGG
Molecule: ribosomal RNA, 253 nt
Filed under: uncultured bacterium
Lineage: Bacteria
Description: partial 16S ribosomal RNA
Rfam family: Bacterial small subunit ribosomal RNA
Source: RNAcentral